This 228-nucleotide unclassified non-coding RNA is filed under the name uncultured fungus. Its description in RNAcentral is "sequence contains ITS1, 5.8S rRNA gene". The stretch from base 180 to 228 matches the Rfam family "5.8S ribosomal RNA", at positions 1 to 49 of the family's 154-position model. The record is from RNAcentral. Lineage: Eukaryota; Fungi.
UCUCCGUAGGUGAACCUGCGGAGGGAUCAUUACUGAGUGAGGGUUUAACCGCCCGACCUCCAACCCUUUUGUGAACCACCUCGUUGCUUCGGGGGCGACCCUGCCGCUUCGGCGGUGCGGCGCCCCCGGAGGCCAUUAAACACUGCAUCAUUGCGUCGGAGUUAAAGUAAAUUAAACAAAACUUUCAACAACGGAUCUCUUGGUUCCAGCAUCGAUGAAGAACGCAGC